Molecule: long non-coding RNA, 632 nt
Organism: Chenopodium quinoa (quinoa)
Lineage: Eukaryota; Viridiplantae; Streptophyta; Magnoliopsida; Caryophyllales; Amaranthaceae
Exons: 2
Source: RefSeq, a predicted model, not a curated record
CAUCAUUCAUCCUAAGAGAUUUAUAAGGGAGAAAAAAUAUUAGUAAGGGGAGAAAUGAAUAGUCAAAUGGAGCACCUUCAAUCAAAAAAACCCAGCUCCAAUGUGUCUCUUACAAAGCAUGAACUUGUCAUCUCCACCGUAGGACGUGUUGAAGUAUACACCGAGAGCACAACGCGAGAAUUAAAAGCCAAACCUCCAACACCAACUAUCAAAGCUGGAAGAAAUGGCCAACUUCACAGCUCGCAAGCUUGACGAAACUUGACAAACUUCUGUUGCAUACUUGCAUGCAAUAAUUUAAGUGUCAUUGAUAUUAUGAAAAUUCCAACUAAAAAUAUUAUUUUGAUCAACUUUGUAAUAUACUCCGUAUUAUGUAACAAUUUAUAUUUUGUUUUUGAUUAGUCUUCUUGAUAAGUAGUUAAUACAAGUAAUUAUUAAGUGCAUGAUAUGUUCGUUUAACAUGUACUCCAUAAUAGAUCUUGAUUUCAGUGUGGAGAGAUGGAGAUCGAGAAUAAAUUUGAACUGAUAUGAUGUGAUUGUAAAAUAGUUACGUAACAUAUUACAUUUGAUGGGAGUGUUAUGUGAUUAUCUAUAUAUGUGAGUACAUCAUCUGUCUAUUGAAGCUCUUGUUAUUA